GCCCCUGUCUGUCAAUUGGAAAGACAACUUGGCUUCGAACCAGGAAUAGUGGGAGUUCGAAUCUCUCCAGGGGCGCCA
RNAcentral lists this transfer RNA (78 nucleotides) under Nitrosarchaeum sp. RNAcentral describes it as "tRNA-Arg". It matches the Rfam family "tRNA". From Rfam's summary of the family: Transfer RNA (tRNA) molecules are approximately 80 nucleotides in length. Lineage: Archaea; Thermoproteati; Nitrososphaerota; Nitrososphaeria; Nitrosopumilales; Nitrosopumilaceae. The record is from RNAcentral.